UCUGACGGAGCAACGCCGCGUGAGUGAUGAAGGUUUUCGGAUCGUAAAGCUCUGUUGUUAGGGAAGAACAAGUGCCGUUCGAAUAGGGCGGCACCUUGACGGUACCUAACCAGAAAGCCCCGGCUAACUACGUGCCAGCAGCCGCGGUAAUACGUAGGGGGCAAGCGUUGUCCGGAAUUAUUGGGCGUAAAGCGCGCGCAGGCGGUCCUUUAAGUCUGAUGUGAAAGCCCACGGCUCAACCGUGGAGGGUCAUUGGAAACUGGAGGACUUGAGUACAGAAGAGGAGAGUGGAAUUCCACGUGUAGCGGUGAAAUGCGUAGAGAUGUGGAGGAACACCAGUGGCGAAGGCGACUCUCUGGUCUGUAACUGACGCUGAGGCGCGAAAGCGUGGGGAGCGAACAGGAUUAGAUACCCUGGUAGUCCACGCCGUAAACGAUGAGUGCUAGGUGUUAGGGGGUUUCCGCCCCUUAGUGCUGAAGUUAACGCAUUAAGCACUCCGCCUGGGGAGUACGGCCGCAAGGCUGAAACUCAAAAGAAUUGACGGGGGCCCGCACAAGCGGUGGAGCAUGUGGUUUAAUUCGACGCAACGCGAAGAACCUUACCAGGUCUUGACAUCCUCUGCAAUCGGUAGAGAUACCGAGUUCCCUUCGGGGACAGAGUGACAGGUGGUGCAUGGUUGUCGUCAGCUCGUGUCGUGAGAUGUUGGGUUAAGUCCCGCAACGAGCGCAACCCUUGAUCUUAGUUGCCAGCAUUUAGUUGGGCACUCUAAGGUGACUGCCGGUGA
Molecule: ribosomal RNA, 784 nt
Filed under: Bacillus sp. CJHH10
Lineage: Bacteria; Bacillati; Bacillota; Bacilli; Caryophanales; Bacillaceae
Description: bacterial SSU rRNA
Rfam family: Bacterial small subunit ribosomal RNA
Source: RNAcentral